UCUAACGAGUUCCUCUUCAAUCUCCUCCUAGUAUCUGUGAGAUCUUCUAAUGACAAGGACGAAGGUGGCAAUAACGUUUUCAGAUGAGAUUUCCUGGGGCAGCUCCAAGCAGUAGGCCGGCGAUGCGCGCGGCGUCUUCUCCGUGAUCGCCCCAAUCUAUUGUGAUCGAAGCCAAAACGGGCAUCUGGAUCAAGCUCAGUAUGAGAAUCAAAUGAUCAUUGCCUACGCGUGCUUGGCGAGUGAAAGAGGCUAAAAGUUUGUUUGGCUGAAUUCUGGAAAGUAGUGAAUCAGAUGAUAAACAGCAUUUACCUCGAACCGCCAUCUGGACGAACUUGGAAAUCUGUUCCGCUUUGCGCUUCAAAGGCUUACUAUAAGAACAGGAGCUUUUUCUGUUCUGUUGUUUUUCUUUUCUUUUUUUUAUUCAAUUCACUUUCAGAUUGAAU
This 443-nucleotide long non-coding RNA is filed under the name Selaginella moellendorffii. RNAcentral describes it as "long non-coding RNA (SMOE_LNC001768)". The record is from RNAcentral. Lineage: Eukaryota; Viridiplantae; Streptophyta; Lycopodiopsida; Selaginellales; Selaginellaceae.